UUUUGCUUUCUUUUUGGGAAGUUGGUAGUUGCAGUUCAUACGAAUUUGGAAUCUCGAAUACCAACUAUCAAAUUUUUAACUAACUAUACUAUAUACGAUUGAUUAAUUUUUUAGCUGAUUUUCAAAAAAAAAAUUAUAAAUGAGAAGUCCAGGAUUGACACAAUGACUGAAAAAUUUAAAGUAAGAUACUGACGCUAACGCGGAUAGAUAAAAUUUAAUUUACAGUUUCUGCUUUCCUGCUGGUAUUAAAAGUAGUUGAAAGACUUUUUAGAAAUUGUUAGUAGU
Molecule: long non-coding RNA, 285 nt
Filed under: Ananas comosus (pineapple)
Lineage: Eukaryota; Viridiplantae; Streptophyta; Magnoliopsida; Poales; Bromeliaceae
Description: long non-coding RNA (ACOM_LNC035325)
Source: RNAcentral